RNAcentral lists this ribosomal RNA (513 nucleotides) under uncultured bacterium. Its description in RNAcentral is "bacterial SSU rRNA". It matches the Rfam family "Bacterial small subunit ribosomal RNA", at positions 8 to 518 of the family's 1533-position model. The record is from RNAcentral.
AGAGUUUGAUUAUGGCUCAGGAUUAACGCUGGCGGCAUGCCUAAUACAUGCAAGUCGAACGAGCAGCGAUGCUAGUGGCGAACGGGUGAGUAACACGUAGGGAACCUACCCUUUAGACGAGGAUAACUACUGGAAACGGUAGCUAAAACUGGAUAGUAUAUUAGAAGGCAUCUUCGGAUAUUUAAAGGUCCUGUAAAGGGAACACUAAAGGAUGGCCCUGCGGAACAUUAGCUAGUUGGUGGGGUAACGGCCCACCAAGGCGACGAUGUUUAGCUGUGCUGAGAGGCAAAACAGCCACACUGGGACUGAGACACGGCCCAGACUCCUACGGGAGGCAGCAGUAGGGAAUUUUCGGCAAUGGGGGAAACCCUGACCGAGCAAUGCCGCCGUGAAUGAAGAAAUUCUUCGGAAUGUAAAAUUCUGUUAUUAGGGACGAAAGGUAUAUAAAGGAAAUGGUAUAUAAUUGACGGUACCUAAUUAGAAAGCCCCGGCUAACCAUGUGCCAGCCGCUGC